This 82-nucleotide small nucleolar RNA is filed under the name Tortispora caseinolytica NRRL Y-17796. Lineage: Eukaryota; Fungi; Ascomycota; Trigonopsidomycetes; Trigonopsidales; Trigonopsidaceae. The record is from RNAcentral.
CCCUAUGAUGAGGAACGUAUUCACACUGUAUGAGUUAUGCAAUGAACAAAACAAAACAAAAACUGAUUUAAUGAGACUGAGG